CUGCCUCAGCCUCCCAAAGUGCUGGGAUUACAGGAGUGAGCCACUGUGCCCAGCCCCUGGUCAUUUUUCAAAGGGCAUAUGUAUGGUCUUCCCUGAAGGUCUCUAGAAGAAACUGUCAGUGCCAGUGAAGAAGAAAACGUGGGACACCAGCAGGCUGGGAAUGUGAAGCAGCAGGAAAAAUCGCAGCCCUCAGAGAGUCGCUGGCUGAAGUAUCUAGAAAAGGACUCCCAAGAACUGGAGCUGGAAGGAACAGGAGUGUGUUUCAGCAAACAGCCUUCAUCCAAAAUGGAGGAGCCAGGCCCCCGCUUCAGUCAAGACCUGCCUAGAAAAAGGAAGUGGAGCAGGAGCACCGUCCAGCCUCCGUGCAGCCGUGGCGUGCAGGACUCGGGUGGCUCUGAGGUCGCCUGGGGACCCCAGAAGGUCAGUGACAAACAGUUUCUCUCUGGUCCCAGUGACCACUGAGCGUGUGUGUGAUAAUUCUGUCUUUUGUCACAGUUGACGAAGUGUGCGAUUCCUACCCGCAGAAAGCCCAUCUUCCCACCCGGGUUUCUUGUCUUUUCUGUCUGAAGCCAACUCCUUCCUCGGGUCUGUACCCCCUUUUCCCUCCCAUGCCUCUCGUCUCCCAUGAGGGUAACUCAGGACCAAAGAGCAUUGUGACCCUUGGAGAAACUGAGGUUGGCCAGCAGGUCAACCUGACGAUGG
RNAcentral lists this long non-coding RNA (702 nucleotides) under Homo sapiens (human). Its description in RNAcentral is "non-protein coding lnc-MRNIP-1:5". Lineage: Eukaryota; Metazoa; Chordata; Mammalia; Primates; Hominidae. The record is from RNAcentral.